GCCUUGGUAGCUCAAUUGGCUAGAGCGUGGGACUUUUAUUAAACGGACAAUACAUCCGGAUUACUUGGGAAUCCCAAGGUUGCGGGUUCGACCCCCGCCUGAGGCG
Molecule: non-coding RNA, 106 nt
Organism: Daldinia loculata
Lineage: Eukaryota; Fungi; Ascomycota; Sordariomycetes; Xylariales; Hypoxylaceae
Source: the annotation of a RefSeq genome assembly